RNAcentral lists this ribosomal RNA (1312 nucleotides) under metagenome. RNAcentral's name for it is "bacterial LSU rRNA". It matches the Rfam family "Bacterial large subunit ribosomal RNA", at positions 1595 to 2925 of the family's 2925-position model. The record is from RNAcentral.
CCUGAGCUGACUGUCAAGAAAAGCCGCUAUUGUUUGCAGGAUACCCGUACCGUAAACCGACACAGGUGGAUGAGGAGAGAAUCCUAAGGCCGACGGGAGAAGCAUUGUUAAGGAACUCGGCAAAAUGACUCCGUAACUUCGGGAGAAGGAGUGCCAGUAAGAUGGCCGCAGAGAAUUGGCCCAAGCAACUGUUUAGCAAAAACACAGGUCUAUGCAAAACCGAAAGGUGAGGUAUAUGGGCUGACGCCUGCCCGGUGCUGGAAGGUUAAGGGGAGAGGUUAGCGCAAGCGAAGCUUUGAACUUAAGCCCCAGUAAACGGCGGCCGUAACAAUAACGGUCCUAAGGUAGCGAAAUUCCUUGUCGGGUAAGUUCCGUCCCGCACGAAAGGCGUAAUGAUUUGGGCACUGUCUCAACAAUGCACCCGGUGAAAUUGAAAUACCAGUGAAGAUGCUGGUUACCUGCGCCAGGACGGAAAGACCCCAUGGAGCUUUACUCCAGCUUGAUACUGGGAUUCGGUAUUGCAUGUACAGGAUAGGUGGGAGGCUAGGAAAUGGUAACGCCAGUUGCCAUGGAGCCAAUGUUGGGAUACCACCCUUGCAGUACUGGGUUUCUAACCAGCAGCCGUGAUCCGGCUGGGGGACAAUGUCAGGUGGGGAGUUUGACUGGGGCGGUCGCCUCCGAAAGGGUAUCGGAGGCGCUCAAAGGUUCCCUCAGAAUGGUUGGAAACCAUUCGAAGAGUGCAAAGGCAGAAGGGAGCUUGACUGCGACACCGACGGGUGGAGCAGGUACGAAAGUAGGACUUAGUGAUCCGGUGGUAUAAAGUGGGAUUGCCAUCGCUCAACGGAUAAAAGCUACCCUGGGAUAACAGGCUUAUCACUCCCAAGAGUUCACAUCGACGGAGUGGUUUGGCACCUCGAUGUCGGCUCAUCGCAUCCUGGGGCUGAAGUAGGUCCCAAGGGUUGGGCUGUUCGCCCAUUAAAGCGGUACGCGAGCUGGGUUCAGAACGUCGUGAGACAGUUCGGUCCCUAUCCGGCGUGGGCGUAAGAUAUUUGAGAGGAGCUGUCCUUAGUACGAGAGGACCGGGAUGGACUGGCCGCUGGUGUAUCUGUUGUCUUACCAAAGGCAUAGCAGAGUAGCCAAGCCGGGAAGGGAUAAACGCUGAAGGCAUCUAAGCGUGAAGCCCCCCUCAAGAUGAGAUAUCUCAUAACGUCAAGUUAGUAAGACCCCUUGAAGACGACGAGGUAGAUAGGGCAGAGGUGGAAGUGUGGUAACACAUGGAGCUGACUGUUACUAAUAGGUCGAGGGCAUAACC